Molecule: transfer RNA, 76 nt
Filed under: Rhodopseudomonas sp. BR0C11
Lineage: Bacteria; Pseudomonadati; Pseudomonadota; Alphaproteobacteria; Hyphomicrobiales; Nitrobacteraceae
Description: tRNA-Phe
Rfam family: tRNA
About the family: Transfer RNA (tRNA) molecules are approximately 80 nucleotides in length.
Source: RNAcentral
GCCGCCCUCGUGUAGCUGGUGCGCACGCCUGUCUGAAGAGCAGGAGGACGCUGUUCGAUUCAGCGGGGCGGCGCCA